UAAGAAAUUCUAAAACUUUUCCAAACCCUAGACCUAUAUAUAUGCCGGCGUAGCCCUCGACGCGCUGAUUUCAGAAGUACGACCCUUUUUACGAGCCGCCGCUCGUAGCUUCGUAGAUCCAUCGCCGAAGUUUCGGAUCUCGUUUCCGGCGAACUUUUCCGGCGAACGUUCGGCGAGCGUUUCCGGCCAUCUCGUGCAUCUCCAGCAGAAACCGUCACCAUCCCGAGCGUCGCCUCGGCCUCCCAAUGCCCAGACCCAUGCCGCCGUUGAUCCGCGGCCUUGUCGCGCCCAUCCCCUGCGCCUCACGUCUCUCCCAUCGCACCACCUGCGUGCUGGUCGGAGGUGCUGCUCGGCGGUGGCCUGUGCGCACCGACAGCCAAGGGCGCGUCCCCUGCUGGCCGCCACCACCGCGGCCCUGCAGGCCAGGCGCGCCGCAGCCGCUGCUAGCUGGUCGGCCGGCUGAGCCCCUCCCCUCCCGGUGUGAUGCAGCGCACCAUGGCUGCCAUGGAGGUCACGAUCCCCUCGAGCCAAAGAAGCGUGGUUCGUCAGCAGUGAAGACCAGGAGCUAAGGACCGAUAGUCGAAG
This is a long non-coding RNA of Sorghum bicolor (sorghum), 585 nucleotides long. RefSeq lists it as uncharacterized. Lineage: Eukaryota; Viridiplantae; Streptophyta; Magnoliopsida; Poales; Poaceae. The transcript has 3 exons. The record is from RefSeq and is a predicted model, not a curated record.